Anneissia japonica is the source of this 529-nucleotide long non-coding RNA. RefSeq lists it as uncharacterized. The record is from RefSeq and is a predicted model, not a curated record. Lineage: Eukaryota; Metazoa; Echinodermata; Crinoidea; Comatulida; Comatulidae. The transcript has 4 exons.
GGCGCUAUUUAGGGGUUGUCGCUGAACUAAUAAUUUCUAGGUUAGUACCCUGGUAGGAAUUUUCUUUCAGGUGCCUGGUUUGGUUGUGCACCUGUCUGCUAACAUCUAAAUUGCGAUGAAAACAAGCUUGUAUGUGAACUACUGUAUAUUGCAGACAUGUCGUCGACAAAAACAUCGUCUAAAAUACUGAAUUUCGGAAUGGUGUUUCUUCUAAGAUUGGAAAAUUUACACAUAGUAAAAAUUCUGUAAAAUCUAACCAUUGGGAAAUGCGCAUCUGAAGAUCUCAGCAAACCAGUGGCUAUAAUGUUGCUUUCUCAUUUUGUGCCAGUUUUUGCUGAAUGUCAAAAUUGUGAAAAAUCUAACCAUUGGAAAAUACACUUCUGAAGAUCUCAGCAAACCAGUAGACCAGGGGACCAGUGGCUAUAAUGUUGCUUUCUCGUUUUGUGCCCGUUUUUGCUGAAUGUGAAAAUUCUGAAGAUCUUGGCAAACCAACGUUCUCAUCCUGCUCAGCUCCAUGGCUAUGUUGCUU